GCCUCGGCGGCGGAUGGUACGCACCUGUAUUGAAUUAUCGAAUUUAAAGGUCAUUAUCAUACAGGAGACGCUCGUUCGAAUCGAGCCCGGGGCC
Non-coding RNA from Mycena polygramma, 94 nucleotides. The record is from the annotation of a GenBank genome assembly. NCBI's taxonomy places the organism in Eukaryota, Fungi, Basidiomycota, Agaricomycetes, Agaricales, Mycenaceae.